Molecule: non-coding RNA, 29 nt
Filed under: Homo sapiens (human)
Lineage: Eukaryota; Metazoa; Chordata; Mammalia; Primates; Hominidae
Source: RNAcentral
GAUGAUAACAGAUGGGGACAUGGGCAUGG